CCUACGGGAGGCAGCAGUGAGGAAUAUUGGUCAAUGGGCGCAAGCCUGAACCAGCCAAGUCGCGUGAAGGAUGACUGCCCUACGGGUUGUAAACUUCUUUUAUAAAGGAAUAAAGAGAGGCACGUGAUCCUUUUUGUAUGUACUUUAUGAAUAAGGAUCGGCUAACUCCGUGCCAGCAGCCGCGGUAAUACGUAGGAUCCGAGCGUUAUCCGGAUUUAUUGGGUUUAAAGGGAGCGUAGAUGGGUUGUUAAGUCCGUUGUGAAGGUUUGCGGCUCAACCGUGAAAUUGCAAUUGAUACUGGCAGCCUUGAGUGCAGUGGAGGUAGGCGGAAUUCGUAGUGUAGCGGUGAAAUGCUUAGAUAUUACGAAGAACUCCGGUUGCGAAGGCAGCCUACUAGACUGCAACUGACGUUGAUGCUCGAAAGUGUGGGGAUCAAACAGGAUUAGAUACCCGUGUAGUC
Molecule: ribosomal RNA, 460 nt
Filed under: uncultured bacterium
Lineage: Bacteria
Description: partial 16S ribosomal RNA
Rfam family: Bacterial small subunit ribosomal RNA
Source: RNAcentral